GACGAACGCUGGCGGCGUGCUUAACACAUGCAAGUCGAACGGAAAGGCCCUGCUUUUGUGGGGUGCUCGAGUGGCGAACGGGUGAGUAACACGUGAGUAACCUGCCCUUGACUUUGGGAUAACUUCAGGAAACUGUGGCUAAUACCGGAUAGGAGCUCCUGCUGCAUGGUGGGGGUUGGAAAGUUUCGGCGGUUGGGGAUGGACUCGCGGCCUAUCAGCUUGUUGGUGGGGUAGUGGCUUACCAAGGCUUUGACGGGUAGCCGGCCUGAGAGGGUGACCGGCCACAUUGGGACUGAGAUACGGCCCAGACUCCUACGGGAGGCAGCAGUGGGGAAUAUUGCACAAUGGGCGGAAGCCUGAUGCAGCAACGCCGCGUGCGGGAUGACGGCCUUCGGGUUGUAAACCGCUUUCGCCUGUGACGAAGCGUGAGUGACGGUAAUGGGUAAAGAAGCACCGGCUAACUACGUG
RNAcentral lists this ribosomal RNA (468 nucleotides) under uncultured bacterium. RNAcentral's name for it is "partial 16S ribosomal RNA". It matches the Rfam family "Bacterial small subunit ribosomal RNA", at positions 28 to 507 of the family's 1533-position model. The record is from RNAcentral.